This 442-nucleotide ribosomal RNA is filed under the name uncultured bacterium. Its description in RNAcentral is "bacterial SSU rRNA". It matches the Rfam family "Bacterial small subunit ribosomal RNA", at positions 338 to 795 of the family's 1533-position model. The record is from RNAcentral.
CCUACGGGCGGCUGCAGUCGAGAAUCUUCCGCAAUGGACGAAAGUCUGACGGAGCGACGCCGCGUGGUGGAUGAAGUUCUUCGGAAUGUAAACACCUUUUGUGGGGGAGAAAUUUUUGAUAGUACCCCAAGAAUAAGGACCUGCUAAACUCGUGCCAGCAGCAGCGGUAAGACGAGUGGUCCGAGCGUUAUCCGGAAUUAUUGGGCGUAAAGGGUGCGUAGGAGGUUUAGUUAGUCUUUCGUUAAAGCUCUCGGCUUAACCGGGAAAAUGCGAAGGAAACGGCUAGACUAGAGGAUGCCAGGGGUCAUUGGAACUCAUGGUGUAGGGGUGAAAUCCGUUGAUAUCAUGGGGAACGCCAAAAGCGAAGGCAGAUGGCUGGGGCAUUCCUGACUCUGAAGCACGAAAGCGUGGGUAGCGAACGGGCUUAGAUACCCCGGUAGUC